Molecule: ribosomal RNA, 495 nt
Filed under: uncultured bacterium
Lineage: Bacteria
Description: partial 16S ribosomal RNA
Rfam family: Bacterial small subunit ribosomal RNA
Source: RNAcentral
UGAACGCUGGCGGCGUGCCUCCUACAUGCACGUCGAGCGAACAGACGAGGAGCUUGCUCCUCUGCCGUUAGCGGCGGACGGGUGAGUAACACGUGGAUAACCUACCUAUAAGACUGGGAUAACUUCGGGAAACCGGAGCUAAUACCGGAUAAUAUAUUGAACCGCAUGGUUCAAUAGUGAAAGACGGUUUUGCUGUCACUUAUAGAUGGAUCCGCGCCGCAUUAGCUAGUUGGUAAGGUAACGGCUUACCAAGGCAACGAUGCGUAGCCGACCUGAGAGGGUGAUCGGCCACACUGGAACUGAGACACGGUCCAGACUCCUACGGGAGGCAGCAGUAGGGAAUCUUCCGCAAUGGGCGAAAGCUUGACGGAGCAACGCCGCGUGAGUGAUGAAGGUCUUCGGAUCGUAAAACUCUGUUAUUAGGGAAGAACAAAUGUGUAAGUAACUAUGCACGUCUUGACGGUACCUAAUCAGAAAGCCACGGCUAACUACGUG